Molecule: RNA transcript, 1103 nt
Organism: Wasmannia auropunctata (little fire ant)
Lineage: Eukaryota; Metazoa; Arthropoda; Insecta; Hymenoptera; Formicidae
Exons: 4
Source: RefSeq, a predicted model, not a curated record
AAAUAGAAACUGCCACAAGUUCGGGGCCACUCAUGGUUUAAGUGUACUUACACCAUGGGGCCACCUAAAUAAUUUUUGAACGUUCGAGAUAUUGGAUUAAAAUUUAUAGGGUUACAAUGGCAAAAUGUAAAGGGGGUAAAUGAAGAGGGAUUGAAAAUCUUAAAUGGCAUGUAGUGUCGAAUGAGGGUUUGUUUGAAAGGGCUUUUCGAAACAAGAAUACGAGGUCGUUGAGGUCUCUCUACGAUUUUUUUUCGCAGAGUUAUGCUCAUUUAAACAUUGGUGUUUUUUGGCACUAGGAAGGCCCAUGACGAGGACGUGAGGAAGAUAAGGCUUCGCGCACGUUGAAAUGCCAAAACUAAUAUUUUGGAAGAUUACAAAUCAAUACAACAUAUUCUAGAAAAGAAACUACAUAUAAAAAGUCAAUCCUUAAUUAAUGAAAAAGAACAGAUAGCAGAAAACUUAUGUAAAAUUGAACGUAAAUUCAAGAUUGACAGAGGAAGAUUUAAAAAAGAAUUAUAUAAUCGUCUUUUGGAUCUGGUUAGUAUAUUUCAACUGGAAGUAUCAAAACAUGUGCCAUGCUCCAUACUCCAUUUACUGUCAGAAAAUAUAGCUGUAAAGAAUCAAUUGUCAAUGAUCCAAAAAAGCGUAAUUUCUAAAACACAGGACUUCAUCCUGCACACAAAUGCAAUAAAAGAAUAUAAAAGUGAAAUCAAUAAUAUGCAUUUAUACAUGACAAGAUCUAUAGUAAUUUCUGAAUUAGAAAAAUCUAUAAUCACAAUGCUACAUGACAUUCACAAAGAGGCAAAUGUUAAUUUAUCUAAAUUAAAUAAAUUUAAUUAUCUCACUGAAGAGCAGUAUAUAAAAAACAAAGAUGAUGCUAAAAUUUUAGCGCACAAAUGUGAAAUGCGCACGAAAUACGUAGAAGUUUUACUUUAUUGCGAAAAAGAAAAACUCACUAUUGCAGAAAAUCAGAAGCGGUGGAUAUCUAAUCAGUUGCAGGAACAAUUGCAACUAUUAUAUGAUGUUACAUAUGUGCUAAAAAAUCUUAAAAUAAAAAAUAAGCAAAUUGUAAAUAAUAAAAAUGAGAUUUAAUAGAAUUGAAA